CGUGUAGGCGGGUUAUUAAGUCAGAUGUGAAAUACCGAGGCUCAACCUCGGGGCUGCAUUUGAAACUGAUAAUCUUGAGUGCUGGAGAGGGAAGCGGAAUUCCUAGUGUAGCGGUGAAAUGCGUAGAUAUUAGGAGGAACACCAGUGGCGAAGGCGGCUUUCUGGACAGUAACUGACGCUGAGGCGCGAAAGGCGUGGGGAGCAAACAGGAUUAGAUACCCUGGUAGUCCACGCUGUAAACGAUGGAUACUAGGUGUAGGGGGUAUCGACCCCCCCUGUGCCGGAGUUAACACAAUAAGUAUCCCACCUGGGGAGUACGGCCGCAAGGUUGAA
RNAcentral lists this ribosomal RNA (333 nucleotides) under uncultured bacterium. RNAcentral's name for it is "bacterial SSU rRNA". It matches the Rfam family "Bacterial small subunit ribosomal RNA", at positions 568 to 898 of the family's 1533-position model. The record is from RNAcentral.